Molecule: ribosomal RNA, 502 nt
Filed under: uncultured bacterium
Lineage: Bacteria
Description: partial 16S ribosomal RNA
Rfam family: Bacterial small subunit ribosomal RNA
Source: RNAcentral
GAUGAACGCUAGCGGCAGGCCUAACACAUGCAAGUCGAGGGGCAGCACAGAAACAGCUAUGUUUUGGUGGCGACCGGCGGACGGGUGCGUAACGCGUAUGCAACCUACCUUUAACAGGGGGAUAACGGAGAGAAAUUUCCACUAAUACCCCAUAACAUCGAUCAAGGCAUCUUGAUUGGUUGAAAACUCCGGUGGUUAAAGAUGGACAUGCGUUGUAUUAGGUAGUUGGUGAGGUAAUGGCUCACCAAGCCGACGAUACAUAGGGGGACUGAGAGGUUAGCCCCCCACACUGGUACUGAGACACGGACCAGAAUCCUACGGGAGGCAGCAGUGAGGAAUAUUGGUCAAUGGGGGCAACCCUGAACCAGCCAUGCCGCGUGCAGGAAGACGGCUCUAUGAGUUGUAAACUGCUUUUAAACAGGGAUAAAGCACAGUAUGUAUACUGUGUUGAAGGUACUGUAAGAAUAAGGAUCGGCUAACUCCGUGCCAGCCGCCGCAGUAA